AUGAAACUGACUACUUUUUCCUUCCUUUUCCAGUACAAAUUGAACACUUUUAUAAACAUUGUUAAAAGCUCUAUUGUUUAUUUGUGUCUAGGAUGUCUCUAAAUGGGACUAUAGUGUUCCUCAUAGCAAUGAAAUGCUGGCUAAAACUUGCUGCAGGCGUGAGACUUAACAGGCUGUUCAUAAUGACUGACAAGUUCCAGCUGGAACACAGGAAAAGGGCCAAAUAUAAGAUAUUUAACUGUAAAGACCAUUCAGUGACUCGCUGGUAUGUUCUAAUCCGCAUCAAAUAUUCACCAUCUGCUUAAAGUUGUCCAGAGGUUACAGCCAUCUUUAUUCACUUUAUUCAUCAGGAAUGCCUGAGCAUUCCUGCUUUCUUCAUAAGCAUCUACAUAGAACCUCCAGAUCUUUUCUGGGACAGUAAAUGGGCUAACACCACGAUCCUUCAUGCUGUAUAGUCU
This 458-nucleotide long non-coding RNA is filed under the name Anser brachyrhynchus (Pink-footed goose). Its description in RNAcentral is "lncRNA (ENSABRG00000013007.1)". Lineage: Eukaryota; Metazoa; Chordata; Aves; Anseriformes; Anatidae. The record is from RNAcentral.